This 406-nucleotide ribosomal RNA is filed under the name uncultured bacterium. RNAcentral's name for it is "partial 16S ribosomal RNA". It matches the Rfam family "Bacterial small subunit ribosomal RNA", at positions 30 to 526 of the family's 1533-position model. The record is from RNAcentral.
AUUGAACGCUGGCGGCAGGCCUAACACAUGAAAGUCGAACGAGUGGCGGACGGGUGAGUAAUGUCUUGGAAACUGCCUGAUGGGGGGGGCUAAGUACUGGGCACUGUAUCUAAUACCGCAUACCAUCAGAUGUGCCGCGAUGGGAUUAGCUUGUUGGUGGGGUAACGGCUCACAAAGGCGACGAUCCCUAGCUGGUCUGAGAGGAUGACCAGCAACACUGGAACUGAGACACGGUCCAGACUCCUACGGGAGGCAGCAGUGGGGAAUAUUGGACAAUGGGCGAAAGCCUGAUGCAGCCAUGCCGCGGGUAUGAAGAAGGCCUUCGGGUUGUAAAGUACUUUCAGCGGGGAGGCGUUACCCGCAGAAGAAGCACCGGCUAACUCCGUGCCAGCAGCCGCGGUAAUAC